This is a long non-coding RNA of Ornithodoros turicata, 326 nucleotides long. RefSeq lists it as uncharacterized. The record is from RefSeq and is a predicted model, not a curated record. NCBI's taxonomy places the organism in Eukaryota, Metazoa, Arthropoda, Arachnida, Ixodida, Argasidae. The transcript is spliced from 5 exons.
UAUUUUGGUGCCAGAGCUGACUGAUGGGUGCACGUGGUUCCUUUGUAUGUUCUUCCUUUGAAAAAAUAAACGUAUUUUGGUGCCAGAGCUGACUGAUGGGUGCACGUGGUUCCUUCGUAUGUUCUUCCUUUGAAAAUAUAAACGUAUUUUGGUGCCUGAGAUGACUGAUGGGUGCACAUGGUUCCUUCUAUUUUGGUGCCAGAGCUGACUGAUGGGUGCACGUGGUUCCUUUGUAUGUUCUUCCUUUGAAAAAAUAAACGUAUUUUGGUGCCAGAGCUGACUGAUGGGUGCACGUGGUUCCUUUGUAUGUUCUUCCUUUGAAAAAA